This is a long non-coding RNA of Rosa rugosa (rugosa rose), 1205 nucleotides long. RefSeq lists it as uncharacterized. The record is from RefSeq and is a predicted model, not a curated record. The transcript is spliced from 3 exons. Lineage: Eukaryota; Viridiplantae; Streptophyta; Magnoliopsida; Rosales; Rosaceae.
UCGCCGUCUCUUUCUUCUCUUCAUCAAUCCUCUUAGUUUCCUCGUUGUCGUCAAGAACUCGAGAUCGCCAAGGAGUGGAAGGGUCGUUAGUUCUCUCAGUUUUCUCUUCGUCUCUGGUUUCCGUUGCCGCUCUGGUCAUCCAGGCCUUCAAGGAGCCGGAUCCCGACCGCAAGAACAUCGAGCACAACGACCAGAUGGGACCGAUGCUCUGACUGCACCCUUCUUCUUCUUCAUACUCCACAGAUCCAGAGCCUCUGUCUCUCUCUCUAUCUCUCUUUGUAUCUGUAUAUAUCUAUAGAUCUCUCUCUCUCUCUGAUUCUUAUCGAUAUUGACAGUUUUGUAUUUCGUGAAAACAUAGAUGAAGGUGAGACCUCAAGAACAUCCUUGGCACUGAGAAGAUGGAGCUGCUGGGAUUGUUAAUGAUGGGUCUGAAGUGUUGUGCCAGAUGAAAGGCUCGGUUGGGUCGAGUCCAGGUAUUGCCUGUUAAUUGAAGAUUUUAUCUUUCAUAUUACAUGUUGAAGUUUGUCGAAUUUAACUUGUAGAUUGUGGUUAUCCAAGAAAUUAGACAAAUUCAUUGAUCUGUUUUUUGCAUGUGGAACUGGUAAGUGAGUAGCUUAAUGUUUCACAGUCAAUGGUAAUUCAUGAAAAUGCUGACCGCAGGCUUAGGAAGUUAGUCACUGAACUUUUAUAUGCGUGGUUUAUUAGACAUGAGUUUAAGAGUGGUUCAGCAUGAAAUCCCCCAUCACAAAACUUCAUCUAUGAGCGAGUUGUAUAAUAGAUAUCAACCCCUUAAAGGGGAGCUUAUCUGCCUGAAAGUUGGUCUUUCUUUUUCUUACUUGUUUACCAUAGAAGUGAGAAUACACAAUGUAUUUAUUUUGUUGUGGUACUUCAGUUUUCUGUAUUCAAUGUUCAGUCAAGUUUGUGAUAUCCAAGGAAGGAAAUGUUGCAGAGACUAGUUGAUUUACAUUGUCACCGAUAUUCUUUUUGGCCAGGAGCUGUGGCUGAGAUUACAUGGGAGAGAUUACAAGCACAAAGCACCCGUCUUGGAUAAGAGGGAUUGACUCUUUUUUUGUUUUUUAGGGGACUUUCAAUUAUGUGUAAUGGUUAAUGGUUUGUUUUUUUUUUUUCUUUUUUUUUUUUAAUAUUGAAGAGGCUCCAAUGGCCUUGAUUAUGAAUUUCCUAGUUUCCAGAACAAUUUUAGUAAG